CCCCUAGAUGUUCUGGGCCGCACGCGCGCUACACUGAACAGUUCAACAAGUUUUUCCAAUGCCGAAAGGCCAUUGGUAAUCAGCAAUAAGUGUCGUGAUGGGGAUAGAUCUUUGGAAUUAUUGAUCUUGAACGAGGAAUGCCUAGUAAUCGUAGGUCAUCAGCCUGCGAUGAUUACGUCCCUGCCCUUUGUACACACCGCCCGUCGCUCCUACCGAUUUCGAGUGGUUCGGUGAACCUUUCGGACCGGCAAUGCCUCGUGUUGCGCCGGAAAGUCAAGUAAACCAUAUCACUUAGAGGAAGGAGAAGUCGUAACA
Molecule: ribosomal RNA, 315 nt
Filed under: uncultured eukaryote
Lineage: Eukaryota
Description: partial 18S ribosomal RNA
Rfam family: Eukaryotic small subunit ribosomal RNA
Source: RNAcentral